GAUCAGGUCCCCCCAGGUCAUUAUGAUCUAGGAUCAGGUCCCCCAGGUCAUUAUGAUCUAGGAUCAGGUCUCCCAGGUCAUUAUGAUCUAGGAUCAGGUCUCCCAGGUCAUUAUGAUCUAGGAUCAGGUCUCCCAGGUCAUUAUGAUCUAGGAUCAGGUCCCCCAGGUCAUUAUGAUCUAGGAUCAGGUCCCAUAUGUCAUUAUGAUCUAGGAUCAGGUCUCCCAGGUCAUUAUGAUCUAGGAUCAGGUCCCCCAGGUCAUUAUGAUCUAGGAUCAGGUCCCUCAGGUCAUUAUGAUCUAGGAUCAGGUCCCCCAGGUCAUUAUGAUCUUCUCCCCAGCCACCAGAGUUCCUCCUCUUCCUCCUCCUCUCCCCAGCCAGAGUUCCUCCUCCUCUUCCCCCUAGCCACCAGAGUUCCUCCUCUUCCUCCUCCUCCUCUCCCCAGCCACCAGAGUUCCUCCUCCUCCUCUUCCCAGCCACCAGAGUUCCUCCUCCUCCUCCUCCUCUUCUCCCCAGCCACCAGAGUUCCUCCUCUCCCUCCUCCUCUCCCCAGCCACCAGAGUUCCUCCUCCUCUUCCUCUUCCCCCUAGCCACCAGAGUUCCUCCUCUUCCUCCUCCUCCUCUCCCCAGCCACCAGAGUUCCUCCUCCUCCUCCUCCUCCUCUUCUCCCCAGCCACCAGAGUUCCUCCUCUCCCUCCUCCUCUCCCCAGCCACCAGAGUUCCUCCUACUCUUCUCUCCGGCCACCAGGUUUCAGGUAAUCAGGUGAUGAGUUGUGGCUCCCAGACCUGACUGGCCAGCUGGGGCCGACACUGAGUGAUGGCAGGAGGGCCAACAGACAGCUGACUGUCAAGACACAGACCACUAACCACGUGCUGCAGGGUCGGCCCUUUUACCUUCCACUUCUACAGGAGGGGCAGAAAGAUGGGCAGGGAGGGGUGAGAGGAGGGAGGGAGGGGUGAGAGGAGGGAGGGAGGGAGGGGGGAGGGAGGGGUGAGAGGAGGGAGGGAGGGGUGAGAGGAGGGAGGGAGGGGUGAGAGGGGGGAGGGAGGGGUGAGAGGGGGGAGGGAGGGGUGAGAGGAGGGAGGGGUGAGAGGAGGGAGGGAGGGGUGAGAGGGGGGAGGGAGGGGUGAGAGGGGGG
RNAcentral lists this long non-coding RNA (1137 nucleotides) under Oncorhynchus mykiss (rainbow trout). RNAcentral's name for it is "lncRNA (ENSOMYG00000057708.1)". Lineage: Eukaryota; Metazoa; Chordata; Actinopteri; Salmoniformes; Salmonidae. The record is from RNAcentral.